Catharus ustulatus (Swainson's thrush) is the source of this 1501-nucleotide long non-coding RNA. RefSeq lists it as uncharacterized. The record is from RefSeq and is a predicted model, not a curated record. Lineage: Eukaryota; Metazoa; Chordata; Aves; Passeriformes; Turdidae. The transcript is spliced from 13 exons.
UUUUGGCUUCUGUAAUGGCACUGCACAAGGAAGAUGGAAUCACAAGCUGUGAAAACUCCUUUCCACUGUGAAACUCCUUCUUCAAAGGCAGUCAGUGUGAGAAAUGGGUUGUAAUCAACAAGCCAUAGGCGUGUCAAAAUACAUCUGAUUGUGAAGAAGCUAUAUCAGCUAAACUCAUUGAAACACCCAAGAGAUUGAUGAUGCUUUUGUGGGGCUGUUCUUGUUGGCCUGGACCCUGCAGCUCUGGCUGCAAAGGAUGGAUUUUGCUUGGACAUCCCUGCCCUUAUUCUCCCAUUCACUAAACACAGCAAGAGCCUGGCCAAGCUGUGUGGAAGCAGCUAUUCCAAAGAGACUUCCACUCAGCUUAACACCAAACUACCAUUUAGUUUGAAAGUGGAAUCUGAACAGGCUUGUCUGGAGCAUUCAGAGCUGCAUCCCACAGGAGUGCAUGGUCAGCAGCACCAUCUGGACUUUUUCUGUAAUGCAUCUUGAUAAGAAUUCCAUAUUAUUACGUGUGAUGGGAAGAAACAAUGACCAGGAGUCUCUGGAGUGACAGAAAACAUGACAUAGACUACAGUUCCCUUGAAGGUCUGUGAUGGUAACAUCAGUAUUUUUACCUGCGAUCUCCUCAGGAAACAAAAGUAUCCCAGAUGCCAACACACCUGGUAACACAUUCAUAGAGCUGCCCUCUCACAGCCACAUAGGGGGAAAAAUGAAGAAAAGAAGGGAAAUGGCUUGUUUGGAAGCACAUUGCAGGACAGCACCCAGUGACAGUCCCACUCUAUCACUUGGGAGCUGGAGCUGGCUUUGGAAAGCAUAAAUGAUCUCAGGAAAAAAAGAACCCAGAGAAGUGCCUUCUGACUCCUGCCUUUCCAUGCAAGAAGAGUGUGAUGGAAAGAGAAAAGAUUUGAAGUGGCACGGAAGCAAAUGUACAAAAAUGCUGAUGGAGAUGACACGACUCAACCCUUCACCUAAAACCUGGAUGAUGUCUUGGGGGCUGUAGCAUUAAGGAGGAGAUUUCCUGCCUGUAAAAUUGCAAUGGAGCACCAUAAAAAUUAUUUCAGUGCUUUAAACCCCUUCUGGAAUUGUAUAGUGCUGAGGACUCUUUUUAAGCAAAAGCACGCUGUGAUGCUGUCAAAGUAACAUAACAUGGAACCUGACCAUGGCAUAAAACCACAGAAUUGGUACUGGACUUCCUACAGAGGUGGAAACCCAGCACAACUUCACUGGUGCCAUUUGUUUCUUGUGAGGCACCUGAUCAGACUGCCUAUUAAAUCAUAGCCAUGGGAGUGGUUUGAAAUUUCAAGACUGAGAACUGGAGCACAUCCUGUACACGAUUUGUCCAGUUGGAGCAGGACGUGGAAAGGACAGCACUGGGAAGCUUUCUCACAUGCAAGUGUGUCUGCACAACCUCUUGGGCUACAGAAACAUCCUGAGUCCCACAUGCAUCUCACCUGGCAAGAAAACCAUGAUAUUGGAGCAAAUCCUGGGAGCAAAUAUG